This 24-nucleotide microRNA is filed under the name Xenopus laevis (African clawed frog). RNAcentral's name for it is "xla-miR-5178". The record is from RNAcentral. Lineage: Eukaryota; Metazoa; Chordata; Amphibia; Anura; Pipidae.
AAUGAAGAGAUAGCAUUGCUGGUU